UCGCGGCCUAUCAGCUUGUUGGUGGGGUAAUGGCCUACCAAGGCGGCGACGGGUAGCCGGCCUGACAGGGUGGACGGCCACAUUGGGACUGAGAUACGGCCCAGACUCCUACGGGAGGCAGCAGUGGGGAAUAUUGCACAAUGGGCGCAAGCCUGAUGCAGCGACGCCGCGUGGGGGAUGACGGCCUUCGGGUUGUAAACUCCUUUCGCUAGGGACGAAGCUUUUUGUGACGGUGCCUAGAUAAGAAGCACCGGCUAACUACGUGCCAGCAGCCGCGGUAAUACGUAGGGUGCGAGCGUUGUCCGGAAUUACUGGGCGUAAAGGGCUCGUAGGUGGUUUGUCGCGUCGUCUGUGAAAUUCCGGGGCUUAACUCCGGGCGUGCAGGCGAUACGGGCAUAACUUGAGUACUGUAGGGGUAACUGGAAUUCCUGGUGUAGCGGUGAAAUGCGCAGAUAUCAGGAGGAACACCGAUGGCGAAGGCAGGUUACUGGGCAGUUACUGACGCUGAGGAGCGAAAGCAUGGGUAACGAACAGGAUUAGAUACCCUGGUAGUCCAUGCCGUAAACGGUGGGCGCUAGGUGUGAGGGUCUUUUCACGACUUUCGUGCCGUAGCUAACGCAUUAAGCGCCCCGCCUGGGGAGUACGGA
RNAcentral lists this ribosomal RNA (647 nucleotides) under uncultured Actinomycetes bacterium. RNAcentral's name for it is "bacterial SSU rRNA". It matches the Rfam family "Bacterial small subunit ribosomal RNA", at positions 231 to 886 of the family's 1533-position model. The record is from RNAcentral. Lineage: Bacteria; Bacillati; Actinomycetota; Actinomycetes.